Molecule: long non-coding RNA, 8161 nt
Organism: Poecilia latipinna (sailfin molly)
Lineage: Eukaryota; Metazoa; Chordata; Actinopteri; Cyprinodontiformes; Poeciliidae
Exons: 2
Source: RefSeq, a predicted model, not a curated record
CAAAGUGCUGUACAUUAAAACACAACAUAAUUAAAAAAAAAAAAACAACUCUUACAGUUUAAAAACAAACACAAUUUCAAACUGGAUCCCACUGGAGCUGAAAGCCAAGUAAAAUAGAUGGUUUUAAGACGAGCUUUAAAAGUGGGAUAUAUUCAGCAGGUAUAAAUCUUGCAGUGAAUUCUCUUUCUGUUGGUAAGCCAGCUUGUCCACAGACAUGAUCUGUUUUCACAUUCCUGUUUUACUUCCUGCCAAAGUGCCAUCAAAGAAGACAUGUUGCUGCUCUCAGGCAGCAGUGUGUUCAUCGUUUUAUUGAAACUUCCUUGGAAACAGAAAUACUGUCAUGUUUGGAUUGUUUGAUAUAUUAGAAAGCACAGUUGAAAGAGCUAUUUAUGUAUAAAAACACAAUCUCUUUUCCUCACAGUCUGACAUUUAUUCAGAUAAAACUGUUCUUGGUCAGUUAGGAUCACUAUAAUGAGUGAGAUGCAUUAGUUUAGAUUUUUUAAACAUAUUUUACAUUGAAAGGCUUUGAUACAUUUCCUCAGUAUUGAGUAGAAUUCUCUGUUAAGCUUUUUUGACAUGGGUCAAAAGUUUCUGGUAACUUUUUUCAGUCUCAGACUGGUUUACCUUUACAGUCCAUUCUCUAAGACAAACUUGAACUGAGUCAUGUUUGUAGGCUGCCUUGCUCACACACAGCUUUAUACUGUAGAUCUGCCCAGUAAUAUUUUGGAACUCAUUUGUCUCUUUGGGUCACUGUCUGUUUUGAAGACCCAUAUCUACCCAAGUUUUAACUUCCUGGUUGAUCUUUUGAGACAUUGCUUCAAUAUUUCCCCACAGCAGUCUUUGUUCAUCAUGUCAGCUAUUUUGAUCAGUGCAUCUGCAGAAAAACAAUCACACAGCAUGACACUGCCACUCCCAUACCUCAAAGUUGGCUUCCAAGCUUCUGCCUUUUUACUUCAGAUGUUAAAAUGGUCAUUAUGGUCAAAUACUUCAACUCUAGUUUGAUCAGACCUGAACAUGUCGCCAGAACCUAAAGCGUUUAUCCCAGAAUGCAUCUGCAAACUGAAAUAUCAUCAUCCAUCGCCAGCAUCUUCACCAGAUCUCCUACUUUUGUUUUGGGGUUGAUGCACACAUUUCACACCAGGUCCUUCCUGACUGGAGUUCAUACUCAGCAGUGAUUGUUUAAAUAAAUGAACCUGGCACCUUCAAGCCGUGGAUGAACCAUAUUUUCAGUUGGCUGAUUUCUUUGGAUUUUCCCAUGAAAACACACAUUAAACAUUUUGUUUGAGUUGCAGCUCAGAUGUUGUGAAUUAACCUUUAAAUUAAUAGCCGCUAAAAGCAUGGCUUCAUCAAACGCUAUGCUUAGACAAAUUCUUUAAAGGUAUGGUAAUCCUCAUGUAUAGAAACUUUGAAUUUGAAGAAAGAUAAAAAUUCUCUAAAGAAGUUCAGCAAAUAGAAAUAAUUUUUUCUGAUUUAAUGUUAGUGAGAAAAUGACUUUAAUGUUUUAUACAGUAUGUAAGUAUCAGGUUUCCACUGUGUUGGCUCUGUCAGAAAAUAGACAGAAUACAAUAAAUAUGUAUAACUGCUGCUUUGUAUAUUAUGAUUUUUAUGGCUUCUGCUCAGAUGUUAGUUUGCUUAUUAUGAAAUUUUAGCUGUCAUGAUGAGGCUUAUAGGAUGAUAAAAUGCUGUUGGUAUGUGUUGAUGUAUUUUUAACUUCAUCGAAAAUGGUUAAAGGAAAAAAUAUGUAACUUUUAUGACAUAGUGGGCAUUAUUUUAGAAGCAUGGCUGAAUGUGACUCGUGUUUUAGCAGCUUGACUCUAGUCAGGAAGGACGGGCUUCAGAUAUCCUGAUCACUCAACAAAAAAGCACAUUGUUGUGCUGACGUUUGACCUGGUUUGAUGUUUUGCAGUUGUUAGAUUAUACAAAGGAUUUCAUAGAAAAUUGGGUCUAUUGUCCUGAAUCAGAGUUGGUGGAAGGAUGAAAAGCAUGACCAUCGUGUGAUGAAAGGAGUUAGAGCCCCUAAACUCUGAAAACUGAAUGUAGAAAAGGAGGAAAGAGAAGUGUGAUGGCAGUCUAUCAUCAUCCGACUGGGAGGAUGGAGAAGCGAUUCAUGGUCCGGGUGGAGCCAGAGGCAGCGCAUGGUCCAGGUUCUAAUGGAAGGAUGGGGAAACAUGGCGGCAGAUUGUAGUCCUGUUGGAAGAGCAAUGAAGUGAGAUGGAAACAUGUUGUAUUCCUCUUAAGAGCAUGCGGAGGUCGGUGGUGGUUGAGAACUAUUUUUUAUUGUUUUAUUUUAAUUUUUUUAAACAUAUUUAGCCUCUGGUGAACUUUAUUGAUUAAUACAGCAACUAAGGAGGAGACAGAAGACAAGUGGAAGACAAGCAGCAAAAGGUCUGAGAUAAGGAAUGGAAGCGGGGACAACUGCAUCAAGGACCAGAACCUCUGGUCAUGGUGCACGCUUCUCCCUGAACUACCAGAACCACCCAGAACUACCAGAACCACCCAGAACCACCCUGAGUAGAGAACAGCAGAAAAAACUUCUUUGAAAACUACUCGCAGCAGAUCAGCGUCAUGGGGAAGCUUUUGCUAAUUCACUGGAACCCAUCAGUUCUGAUAGUUCAUGUGGAGCAUCCAGUGUGAUGAAGGUCUUAAAGCUCCCUGUGGGGCGCUCACAAAACCAUUAUUCAUUUUAAAAUGCUUGCACACUAAUGUAGAGAAAGGAAGUUAUAAUGAAUGUCAAAAGGAAGCCAUUGAGAAUUUAUCUAAAAAUAUUUAGAAGUGUUCAAGUUUGUUUACAAAUCAAAAUGUAUUUUAAUAAGUUUAAAAAUAUUAAUAUUUUCUUUUAUGCUUAUUUAGUUAAAACAAAAUUCUAUUAGAGAUAAUACAUAGAGUGUUGGAUUGUCUAGAAGGUUCAGACUGAAUAAAGUUGUAUUUAGGAUCUUUAAUGAAUGUUAGCAACAAUCAAUGCUGGCAAGGAUGAACUAUUCCAGUUUGCUAGUUUGGAAAAAUUGCACUUUUUGAGAUAUAUUUCAAACAUGUAAUUCUAACAUUUUGAAGUUUAUUCUUUCACAGUUGCGUUUACUUAUUUUUACACUAAUAUUAUAUGUGAUAAUGGGCAAAAACUUCUUCUGGUGCUGUCUCCAAACUGUGCCAUUAAAACCACUGCAGAAAGAGAGCAGACGCAGAGUACCUUUUUGUUGUUUUUGCAAUCUUUAUAAAUAAGAGUAUAACUGCUUUGUCAGCCACAAUUAGAAGGUGGAAACCUUCUUACAUUACAUACCACAAAUACAAUGUUUCUCAUUCAUUAUAAGCUAGGAAUUGACAUCACAUGCAGUGUAAUUUUGUUUAACUUGGAUAGUUCUGAGAAUGAAAAUAAAACUGAGUUUAUGUGUGCACAUCCCACCCAGAAUAUGAGUGAGACUGUCAUAUAGUCAAAAUACAGAAACAAAUGUGGCCUCCGCCUAGGGAAGCUGCAAAACCCAGGGCUAAUGCUACUUGGUAUGCUAUUGGCUAGCAUAGCAGCCAAUCCAGGUGUACCUUUCAUUUUCCUUGGUACUGAUUGGAUGUACCCCCAAGAGAUGAGGUUGACUGUGGAUGCUAACUUCUGCCAACAGGGUACCACUAUGCACAUUGAUGCAUAUUAAAGUAUAUUUGGUGUAGGAAAUAUUAAAAUAGGGAGUUCAAAGCUUUUUUAGCUAUUUGCUGGUAGAUGUGGUCCAUAACUUCCAACAAUACUGGGGGUCACCCAUGCAUUCAUUUAUCCCUGUGUAUAGUUCUGCAAAAAGGAAAGAAUAGUUUGAUAAAUGUUAGUAAAUGUGAUUUCUAAUCAACCCAUGAUGUGAUCUAGUCUGGUGUUGACACUUAUAACCCGACACCUGAAUCAGUUUCAGGUUGGAAUUAUUAUAUAUGCUUUCAGCAGGAUGUUGUUGAAAAUCUCCUUGCUUAACAACUACUGUUCAAUGUAAAUGUAAAGAAAUUUUAUUUCAAAGCCUAAAGUCAUUUGUCAAUGGAAAUUUAUGUCCAUUUAUUUGAUGUUGUGAAAUGUUAGUGAUCUUAUUUACCUUUUCUUUUUCUGGAAUAUAACAUUUAAGAUCAGGCUGUACUGGCACAAGUCUUAGCAACCUGGAAGUACAACUUAGAUCCACGCAAGAAAUGAGUCGACCCCAAAACAUUCCAACAAAUCUCACUUAUUCACUGAAAAUUAAUUGAACUGUCCUUGACUUAAAAAAUUAUUGAGUUUGCUGUUUAAAAUGUUGAUCAAUUUCCAGCUUGAUGACAUGAGAAGCAUUCUAAAGAGCUGAUUACAUUCUGUGGUCCAUCCUCUAGUCUGAACUGCUUUUUAUGUCGUUGCUGUGGAGCUGCAUUAUUAUUAUUAUCAAAGUAGUUUUAUCAAGUGUUUACAGUUCAUAUGUUGAUUUAAUCUUUCAUUCAUUCAAACCAUGGUGAAAGCUUUUCUGUAAGAACUUUGGUGUCCUGGACAAACAGACUUACUUAAUACUACCUACUGUUCCAAAGUUAAUGAAAUGGAAAGAGGAUGGUUCAGAGAAAAUGAUUUACAUACUACGUAUUUCUAAUACUUUGUGUGUUUUCUUUCUAUGGCUUGUAGUAUUAAACAUUAAGUAGAUAUUUCUCUUAGUGUAUAGCUUUUAUUUACUCUGGCUAAAUGUGAAUAUUUGGCAUAGUCACUCUAUAGUGUUCUGACAGGGUGGGGACUGACUUCCCGGUCAGGUCAGUAGUGAGCUAUGAAGGGAUCGCUGUAACGUCUGAGAGCAUCAAGUCCAUCUAACACCACUAAUUAGGGUCCCUUUGUUUCCAGACACGUUUAAAUGCUGAAACACUUGCAGUGGGUUUGUCUGAGAAACUGGUGCUUGGAUGUGGAAAUGACAUCAUGCCGAAUCAGAAAACAAAUUGCUUUGUUGCUAACUACCAUUAGCAAUUCAAGCCAACAGAAUUAAUUUUCUCUCUGUUUUAUGUUAAAAGGCUAAAGAGACAUGUUCAUAUGUAGGGGUUGUAAAUGUGAUACACAAUGUUAAAAUGCUGCAACCUUCACUGGAUUUUAUAUGCAGUCAUAUGGGAUAGUGAACUAAGGGCUGUCCUGACUGACAGAGGCAUUCUUGGUACAGUACGAGUGUAAGAAAAGCAAAAUUAACCCUUAAAAUUUCCUACAAUUUAACUUUGAAUUACAUUAUGUAUCGCAUUAAGGCUAACAAUUCAUGUUUAAAGUUCCAACCAGCACCGAUGUUUGGUUGGAUCCCAGUCAAAUGAAGACUGGGACAGACCAAAGCUUCCUGAAGGACCGGUCUCCUGCAACUUUUAAAUGUCUCACACCAACAUUAGUUCAUCAGCAGAGCUCUGUAGAAUCUGACUGCCUGCAGGUUAGCCAUUUACAGUAAUUCCAGUGUGUACGAAAAGGCCCUCAAAGACUGGAGUUUCUAGUUGCUGCAUAUUUCAUUUGUCCCGAUUUUUACAUUGGAUCGGAUCCAGUGGGUCUUGGCCUUAACAGUAUGUCUCAGUAGAUUUGAUGCUACUGAAUUGCAUCUACUAAUGAAAAUGGUGCAUAAAAUAAAGAGAGUUCCAUUGCUAUCUGUUCUACUUUAGGCACACGUAGCAAAAUGGCACUGGGUGUCAGAUUUGAACCUUGAACAUGAUCCCAGGUCCAAAUUCCACAUUCUGAAGCAAAGGAAAUAAAUCAUAUGAAAUGCUACAAACUAGAAGACUCUUAUAUUUUUUUGUGUAUUAAAUAAGAGGUUGCUGAGCUAGCAAACUGUCCUACAGACAAAAAGCACUGAGGGCUUCACACUCUUGAUGUUUUAUGGACUAAAUAACAGGUUUUUCUCACAGAGCUGCUGCAGUGUUCCCUUUAUCAAGACACUGCCUCUAGACUGUUAAAGACAAAUGUCCAAGAAUGUCUCACACAAGUCCAACAUGGUCUAGAUUUACAUUUCUAAAAUGUUGCUGCUGUAAAGUGUUUUUGAAGGUUUAGUGUGGUUUUAGCUUGUUGCUUUUCAAAUAUGCUUAUUAAUGUGAGCUUUGCUGUUUCUAUUGCUGAAAAAAAAUAAAUAUUUCUAUCUUUUUACUUAUCCCAGUAAUGUGUUCAUGAGCUCAGACUAGAGGUCAGGUUUGCUCAUUGUUUCAAAGUGUUAGCCAGCUGCUGAUUCUGAGAUCAUGUUGGAAAGAACAGAUAUUUGGAAUCUGUUCCUAAACUCGAAUAAGUUUGACUAUAAGUGUGCUGACUCUGUAGCUACAAGUACAUCAGAAAAAUGAAGAUCAUGAAGAAGUUCAAUUCAAUUCAGUUUAUUUAUAUAGCACCAAAAUUCACAACAAAUGUCUCAAGGGACUUUACAAAAUAAUCAUUUCAGUUCAAUCACACACACAUUCCAAUUGAUUCUAGUUAUCAAACAGUACAGUAUGCUCAACUAAUUAUUCAAAGUGGCUUAAAAAGUUUUUACGUAAACCCAGCAGAGCAUCAAGUCAUUGACUUGCAGCAAUCCCUCAUACUGAGCAUGCAUGUAGUUACAGUGGAAAGGAAAAAGUCCAGUUUAGCAGGAAGAAACCUGCAGCAGAACCAGAACCUGGCUCAGUACAAGCAGCCAUCUUCCACACUGAGUUAAAGUUUAUUUUAUUUUUGUUACUCAUUUCAGAAAGUGAAACAUCAAUAGAUUAAUCACAUAGAGGGAAAUGUUGUCAUUUUGAUGAUUAUGGCUCACAGAUACUGAACACCUAAAAUUCAAUGUCUUGGGAAAUGUGAAUAUUACAAAAAGGAACAUUUUAGAAUCUCAUGGUGAAACUGACACCAUAAUAAGUGAAUUAACCUGCAAACAGCUGAAGGUUUCCUGAACGCUCUCUCACUCUGGGUCAGUCAGCUGCACAAUCUGCUGACUGGACAGACGGCCAGAAGACAGUCAUGGACACCGUCCACAAGGAGGGGAAGACGCAGCAGGUCAAUGCUGAAGAAGCUGGUUGUUCAGAGUGUUGCAUCCAAGCAUAUUCAGAGAAAGUUGAGUGGAAGGAAGAAGUGGUACCAGAAACGGGGAGGACUGACCUGACCUUUAACCCCACAAAGAAUCUCUGAGAUGUUGUUAAGAGAAAGAUGAGGCCCCAGACCCAACAAGGCAGAUGACCUGAAGGCAGCUAUCAAAGCUACCUGGACUUCGUUACAGCUGAGCAGAACCACAGGCUGAUCUCCUCCAUGCUGCGCUGCGUUGAUGCAGUAAUUCAUGCUAAAAGAGCCACAAUCAAGAACUGAGUGCAGAGAAAUGAACUGACUUUCCAGCAGCUUCAUAUUUGUGUUUAAAACAUCCUUUUUCAUUAAUCUAAUGUAAUUUUCUGAGACACUGCAUUUUGGGUUUUCAUUGUCUGUAAACUGUAAGCAGCCAAACUGCAAUUCAUAAGGACUUGAACUAUUUCACUCUCUGUGUAAAGUGUCUGUUCUGACAAGAAAUAUUCAACUUUUUCACAAUAUUCACAUUUUGAGAAGUAUGUCUAUAUUUCUGAGGACAGUGUAUCAUUGAUUUGAAACAAUAAGCAUUUUAGAUUGUCUUUAUAUAGAGGAGCAUAAAGUCUUCAGAGAUGGAAAAAAACUUGUAUUUUUUUAUAUGACAGUUACAGUGAUUAGUCACUGUAGCGCAAGAUUGUUUUUUUUAUUAUUUCUUCUCCAUUCUUGGAAUUAGAACCUAAGCAUUUCUUUUCCCCAGCCUUUAGUGAGUGAGCAGUGCUGCAUCACUGAGAAGUAAACGCCUUUCAGAUGAAGAGAUUGUGUCUAACUGAGAUUUUUCUCAGCCUGUUUUGUGCUUUCACAUCAUCUUUGCCAACAUGCAGACCAUGGAGUGUUUUAAGAAAGCCACCAGCUCAGACAUUGAAACUGGGAUCAAAGUUAAACAAGGGAAAUGUGUGAGAGUUGCUCUUGAACUGACACUAUGUCAUCCAUAAGGUGACUUCCACAUUCAAAGUGUCACAUGAAGACAAGCACUGCCUUGCUGAGAGGAAACGGAAAGGUUUCUACAUGCAGUGGAGUUCAGACUAGCAGCUAACCGUUGAUGUGAUGAAGAGAAUUAACUGUUACUGUACCAUCACUGAUCAGUUCAGUGUACCGAUACUGACAAAUAUCAAAGUUUCUGUUUUGCAGUGGUGUUUCUGUAACAAAAUAAAGGUUUGAUAUCAAAAGACA